RNAcentral lists this ribosomal RNA (313 nucleotides) under uncultured bacterium. Its description in RNAcentral is "bacterial SSU rRNA". It matches the Rfam family "Bacterial small subunit ribosomal RNA", at positions 28 to 334 of the family's 1533-position model. The record is from RNAcentral.
GAUGAACGCUGGCGGCGUGCUUAACACAUGCAAGUCGAACGGACUUUUGAUGAAGCCUAGCGAUUCAAAAGUUAGUGGCGGACGGGUGAGUAACGCGUGGGUAACCUGCCUUAUACAGGGGGAUAACACUUAGAAAUAGGUGCUAAUACCGCAUAAGCGCACAGUAUCGCAUGAUACAGUGUGAAAAACUCCGGUGGUAUAAGAUGGACCCGCGUCUGAUUAGCUAGUUGGUGAGGUAACGGCUCACCAAGGCGACGAUCAGUAGCCGGCCUGAGAGGGUGAACGGCCACAUUGGGACUGAGACACGGCCCAA